RNAcentral lists this ribosomal RNA (467 nucleotides) under uncultured bacterium. Its description in RNAcentral is "partial 16S ribosomal RNA". It matches the Rfam family "Bacterial small subunit ribosomal RNA", at positions 29 to 507 of the family's 1533-position model. The record is from RNAcentral.
AGUGAACGCUGGCGGUAGGCCUAACACAUGCAAGUCGAACGGCAGCACAGUAAGAGCUUGCUCUUACGGGUGGCGAGUGGCGGACGGGUGAGGAAUACAUCGGAAUCUACUUUUUCGGGGGGGAUAACGUAGGGAAACUUACGCUAAUACCGCAUAUGACCUACGGGUGAAAGCAGGGGAUCUUCGGACUUUGCGCGAUUGAAUGAGCCGAUGUCGGCUUAGCUAGUUGGCGGGGUAAAGGCGUACCAAGGCGACGAUACGUAGGUGGUCUGAGAGGAUGAGCAGCGACACUGAGACGAAGACACGGCGCAGAAUACUAGGGGAGGGAGGAGUGGGGAAUAUUGGAAAAUCGGCGAAAGCAUGAACCAGCAAUGCUGCGUGAGUGAUGAAGGUCUUAGGGUUGUAAAGCUCUUUUACCCGCCAUGAUACUGACAGUACCGGGAGAAUAAGCGCCGGCUAACUUCGUG